RNAcentral lists this long non-coding RNA (560 nucleotides) under Phasianus colchicus (ring-necked pheasant). RNAcentral's name for it is "lncRNA (ENSPCLG00000005294.1)". The record is from RNAcentral. Lineage: Eukaryota; Metazoa; Chordata; Aves; Galliformes; Phasianidae.
GAAACUGUUUGGGCCAGAAUUUUCUGCCUUUCUCAGUAAAUCUCUCUUCCUUAAGGCCUCUAGUCUUGGGAGUAGGAGUGCCUGCAUGCUGAGGAGUUUUGUAAAUCUCAUCUCUGUUAGUGCUAAGUAUAAGCUCAGCAGAUUUACCUCCUGGGAAUAAUUUUUAAGUUGUGGUAUUAAUUCAGAGAUUAUUUGCAUUGCAGAACAACCCUCUCCCUGUCAGAGCAGAUUCAGAUGAGCAUGGAAAGGACAGAAAUUAUACCCAUCCAGGCCUGGGAACUGAAGCAUCUUCUUUUUGCCUUCAAGAUACAGGUGAAAAGGGAAAGAUGAAAAUAAAAGAGAUGGGCAGGCGGCCUUCCUCACAGGCAUCUCAGCAGAUAAGGUGCCUGAACCUUGCGUUUAGCCAGGAAGAGGUAAUAGGACCCAAGAAGAAAAGGAAGGUCAGUGAACCAGAGAAGCUGCUUCUGGAAGGCAGGAAAUGAUGUUUGUUCUGCCACACAAUGCAUUUCAGAAGGUGUGAGUUCGUGUUGUCAUCUGACUGGUAAAGACCUUAAUUCUCU